UGGGGGAUAUUGCACAAUGGAGGAAACUCUGAUGCAGCGACGUCGCGUGAGCGAAGACGGUCUUCGGAUUGUAAAGCUCUGUCAACGGGGACGAAUAAAAUGACGGUACCCGUGGAGGAAGCCACGGCUAACUACGUGCCAGCAGCCGCGGUAAUACGUAGGUGGCAAGCGUUGUCCGGAAUUACUGGGUGUAAAGGGAGCGUAGGCGGGAUGUCAAGUUGGAUGUGUAAUGCCGGGGCUUAACCCCGGAACUGCAUUCAAAACUGAUGUUCUUGAGUGAGGUAGAGGUAAGUGGAAUUCCUAGUGUAGCGGUGAAAUGCGUAGAUAUUAGGAGGAACACCAGUGGCGAAGGCGACUUACUGGGCCUUAACUGACGCUGAUGCUCGAAAGCGUGGGGAGCAAACAGG
RNAcentral lists this ribosomal RNA (407 nucleotides) under uncultured prokaryote. Its description in RNAcentral is "bacterial SSU rRNA". It matches the Rfam family "Bacterial small subunit ribosomal RNA", at positions 355 to 776 of the family's 1533-position model. The record is from RNAcentral. RNAcentral also lists the same sequence under 1 other name.